UACGUAGGGGGCAAGCGUUAUCCGGAUUUACUGGGUGUAAAGGGAGCGUAGGUGGUGAUGCAAGUCAGAAGUGAAAGCCCUCGGCUCAACUGAGGGACUGCUUUUGAAACUGUAUGACUAGAGUGCAGGAGGGGUAAGCGGAAUUCCUAGUGUAGCGGUGAAAUGCGUAGAUAUUAGGAAGAACACCGGUGGCGAAGGCGGCUUACUGGACUGAAACUGACACUGAGGCUCGAAAGCGUGGGGAGCAAAC
Molecule: ribosomal RNA, 250 nt
Filed under: uncultured prokaryote
Description: partial 16S ribosomal RNA
Rfam family: Bacterial small subunit ribosomal RNA
Source: RNAcentral